AUUGAACGCUAGCGGCAUGCUUAACACAUGCAAGUCGAACGAGUGGCGGACGGGUGAGUAAUAUAUGGGAACGUGCCUAGUCGAGGGGGAUAACUACUCGAAACAGUGGCUAAUACCGCAUACCAUCGGAUGAGCCCAUAUGGGAUUAGCUAGUAGGUGGGGUAAGGGCUCACCUAGGCGACGAUCCCUAGCUGGUCUGAGAGGAUGAUCAGCCACACUGGGACUGAGACACGGCCCAGACUCCUACGGGAGGCAGCAGUGGGGAAUAUUGCACAAUGGGCGCAAGCCUGAUGCAGCCAUGCCGCGUGUAUGAAGAAGGCCCUAGGGUUGUAAAGUACUGUCAGUCGGGAGGCGUUACCGACAGAAGAAGCACCGGCUAACUCCGUGCCAGCAGCCGCGGUAAUAC
This 406-nucleotide ribosomal RNA is filed under the name uncultured bacterium. Its description in RNAcentral is "partial 16S ribosomal RNA". It matches the Rfam family "Bacterial small subunit ribosomal RNA", at positions 30 to 526 of the family's 1533-position model. The record is from RNAcentral.